AAAAAGAAGGGAAAAAACAAA
Molecule: small RNA, 21 nt
Filed under: Arabidopsis thaliana (thale cress)
Lineage: Eukaryota; Viridiplantae; Streptophyta; Magnoliopsida; Brassicales; Brassicaceae
Description: ATSL242980
Source: RNAcentral